Molecule: long non-coding RNA, 851 nt
Organism: Engraulis encrasicolus (European anchovy)
Lineage: Eukaryota; Metazoa; Chordata; Actinopteri; Clupeiformes; Engraulidae
Exons: 2
Source: RefSeq, a predicted model, not a curated record
CACGAUCUUUCAACAAGAACUGGUACCUCCGAAACCCCUGGCUAGCCGGCUGUGUAGCCAAUGCACUUUUUUGCUACCCUUGCCUUUGCUUCCACCCAGAAAACAACACGGCAGACGGUACAGCCUGGACAUUAAAAUAGGCUCUCGGACAAAGUUAAGAGGCACGAGAAAGCAAGGAAUCACACGGACAGCUGUCUCAAGUUUUCAGCCAUAGCUGAGUGGGAUCUCAAAUUUUUUUUUUCCACGGUCCACCCAGGCUGACCAGCAUUCUCGAUCAGGUCGUCACUCGAAGGGCCCUCCAGAGGUUCACAAGCAGUGUGCUGGUCAUAGGGACUCCACCUCACAUCACCAGGUCCAGGGAGAACCAUCUACCAAACGAGCAAGAACAGCCUUGGGAGAGGAAGAGAAGCAAAGGAUGGUCAAAGAGAUCUGUGACACCGUUUUGACUGCAAGAAGGGUUUUUCCUUCACUGACACCCUGGUUAGUGCCACCUUGCUGCAAGGAGAUCUGUUUGGUGCUCAUGCUCUACAUGCGAAGGCAUACCCCAUAUUGGAUCAAGCAAAGCUGCACACAGAGCUCUCCCUCAUCUACGAAAACCCUGAGUGUAGGGGAUGCUGAGGUGCACUGGCACUUUACUAGCUGCUUGUAUGUGGACAUUGGAUGUUGUUUGAUAUAUUUUAUCAUUGUAUCUUCUGUGUGUUAUAUUUCUGUAUUUGGACUUUUACUGCUACCCACAGAGCAUUGUGAACUGUGAUAACAUAUUUUAGACACCCUUCUCUUUGUAUCUUGCUUGUCUACCAUUGUGCCUUUGUUCAAAUACCUUUUUUAUUCAGUAAAACAUUUGAAUUUGA